GUGAGGAAUUUUCCGCAAUGGGCGAAAGCCUGACGGAGCAAUGCCGCGUGAAGGAUGAAGGCCUAUGGGUUGUAAACUUCUUUUCUCAGAAAAGAAUUAUGACGGUAUCUGAGGAAUAAGCAUCGGCUAACUCUGUGCCAGCAGCCGCGGUAAGACAGAGGAUGCAAGCGUUAUCCGGAAUGAUUGGGCGUAAAGCGUCUGUAGGUUGUUUAAAAAGUAUUCUGUCAAAGAUUAGGGCUUAACCCUAGAUAGGCAGAAUAAACUUUUAAGCUAGAGUUUGGUAGAGGCAGAGGGAAUUCCCGGUGGAGCGGUGAAAUGCGUAGAUAUCGGGAGGAACACCAAAGGCGAAGGCACUCUGCUGGGCCAAUACUAACACUGAGAGACGAAAGCGAGGGGAGCAAAUGGGAUUAGAAACCCCAGUAGUC
Molecule: ribosomal RNA, 425 nt
Filed under: uncultured bacterium
Lineage: Bacteria
Description: partial 16S ribosomal RNA
Rfam family: Bacterial small subunit ribosomal RNA
Source: RNAcentral